GCUUGCUUGGUUUGCACGCAUUGUAGUUCCUCUUGAGCCUCGGUUAAUGCUUGCUGGACUUGUUGGAUGCCAUAUGGAGGCAAUGAGGCGCGACGAAGGCUUCAUUCAUGUUUUUUGUAAGUCUUCAUGGAGCUAGUGGUUUUGUUUUGAUAGUGACUGUUUAUGGUUUUUGGUUCAAAAACUUUCAACGCAAGCACCAAAAUGUUAGCACAAAAUUUCCCGAACAAAAAAUAAGAGGAAGAAGCUAUCGAAAUGGUGAUGAGUUUGCAUUUGGUUAGAUGGAAGUAGUGGUCAAAUUGUAAAGACACUCAAGAUUUUAUAGCUGUUUAGCCCAAGGUACGACUUAUGUCCACUGUAGUUGUUUUAUUACUCUGUAAUGGAGUUUUGUUUAUGAGUACAAAUAGCUCUCUCUUAGAGAAGAAAAUGGUAUAUCCUCCUUUUACACAAUGGGAAAUGUCUCUACAUAUAGAGGUGAUAAGCUUUGAAUGCCUCUUGGAAAUCUAGUAUGUUUGACUUCUUAAUUGGCAUGAUUAACUCUGAUUGGGUGAUAGGAUCAGUGGCCCUGUUCCCAAUGGUUGAUCAAUUGUUUGUCCUUUUAUAAGCUAAUUCGACAUUUACUACAUAGAUACAUGUGAGAGUUGAUUGAGCUUGAUUUGGACCUGUGACCUGUCGUGUGUGAGCUAUACUUUAUCUGUGGUCACCAUAUUCAUCUAGGUUGUUAUUGCUUCUAUGGUGAUUGUUUCUUCCCAGUAUAACUUUCGUAAAUUUUCUU
Humulus lupulus (European hop) is the source of this 772-nucleotide long non-coding RNA. RefSeq lists it as uncharacterized. The record is from RefSeq and is a predicted model, not a curated record. NCBI's taxonomy places the organism in Eukaryota, Viridiplantae, Streptophyta, Magnoliopsida, Rosales, Cannabaceae. The transcript has 2 exons.